CCUACGGGAGGCAGCAGUAAGGAAUAUUGGUCAAUGGAGGCAACUCUGAACCAGCCAUGCCGCGUGCAGGAAGACUGCCCUAUGGGUUGUAAACUGCUUUUAUCCGGGAAUAAACCUGCUUACGUGUAAGUAGCUGAAUGUACCGGAAGAAUAAGGAUCGGCUAACUCCGUGCCAGCAGCCGCGGUAAUACGGAGGAUCCAAGCGUUAUCCGGAUUUAUUGGGUUUAAAGGGUGCGUAGGCGGCCUGUUAAGUCAGGGGUGAAAGACGGUAGCUCAACUAUCGCAGUGCCCUUGAUACUGAUGGGCUUGAAUGGACUAGAGGUAGGCGGAAUGAGACAAGUAGCGGUGAAAUGCAUAGAUAUGUCUCAGAACACCGAUUGCGAAGGCAGCUUACUAUGGUCUUAUUGACGCUGAGGCACGAAAGCGUGGGGGAUCGAAACAGGAUUAGAUACCCUGGUAGUCCACGCCCUAAACCGAUGAACACCCGCUGUUGGCGAUACACAGUCAGCGGCUAAGCGAAAGCGUUAAGUGUUCCACCUGGGGAGUACGCCCGCAAGGGUGAAACGUNAAACGUAGUAGUUGACGGAGAGAGAGCGACGACGACGACGACGGAGGGAGGAG
This 621-nucleotide ribosomal RNA is filed under the name uncultured bacterium. RNAcentral's name for it is "bacterial SSU rRNA". It matches the Rfam family "Bacterial small subunit ribosomal RNA", at positions 338 to 1417 of the family's 1533-position model. The record is from RNAcentral.